CAAGCUUGUUCAUGUGAGUCUAAAGUGAGCAGUGCCAUAUGACAAAAGAAUUUUCCCUCCACCCCUACCCAGAACGCUCCUAAAACCUGUUUCUUUGUGCUGAACCACCAUUUUUGUUGGAUUUAGACUUCCUCACUCUCAGUUGUCAGUUCUCACUUAUCUAGUUCUGGUGUUGUGAGUUACUCGUUUCGUUACUAGUUGUGAGUUUUGUUUAUGGUUUUGAUACCAAGACGAAGCAAAGAAGAAUUAAGGGAUUCCUGUAAAGAUCUUCUGAAGCAGGCGGUGGAGUUGAUGGGUUCAGAAAAGAAGUUGAAGGUCAAGUGGAAGAUAGUGGGCAUUGUAUUUAUUAUAUUAAUAAAUUGUCUUGAAAUGUGAA
Long non-coding RNA from Macrosteles quadrilineatus (aster leafhopper), 376 nucleotides. RefSeq lists it as uncharacterized. NCBI's taxonomy places the organism in Eukaryota, Metazoa, Arthropoda, Insecta, Hemiptera, Cicadellidae. The record is from RefSeq and is a predicted model, not a curated record. The transcript has 2 exons.